RNAcentral lists this transfer RNA (74 nucleotides) under Candidatus Phelpsiimicrobium noxiivivens. RNAcentral's name for it is "Candidatus Omnitrophica bacterium CG1_02_44_16 tRNA-Val". It matches the Rfam family "tRNA". Rfam says of the family: Transfer RNA (tRNA) molecules are approximately 80 nucleotides in length. Their secondary structure includes four short double-helical elements and three loops (D, anti-codon, and T loops). RNAcentral also lists the same sequence under 4 other names. The record is from RNAcentral. Lineage: Bacteria; Pseudomonadati; Candidatus Omnitrophota.
GGGCGCGUAGCUCAGUUGGUUAGAGUAUCUCCUUGACAUGGAGGGGGUCACAGGUUCAAGUCCUGUCGCGCCCA